Molecule: long non-coding RNA, 2977 nt
Filed under: Aquilegia coerulea
Lineage: Eukaryota; Viridiplantae; Streptophyta; Magnoliopsida; Ranunculales; Ranunculaceae
Description: long non-coding RNA (ACOE_LNC000180)
Source: RNAcentral
UCCUGCUCCACACCAAUCUUCAACCUUCAAGAAGAAACAAUGGCAAACAACCAUGGUUGCAUCAAUAACAAUUCUAUAGACGAUGCUAACUAUUCUUCUCCUGUGCCUGUUAUUGGCUUAUAUAUAGCUGGAGCUUCUGUGGCAUGCCUGGUAAUGAUGCUUUUGGAUAUAGGAUUUGGAAUUUAUGCAAAGAAGAGAUGGCUUCCAUGUAAGGUAUUUAAACUCGACUCUGUUACACUAACUUUGCUUGGUGUAGUAGCUAAACUCCCUGUUGAUUUGACGACUUCCAUGCCUAAUCGCCAUGAUCAACUAUCUAAGCUUACUGGAACUGUCAUAAUAUGCAUUUCUAUGGGCUUUCUUGUGCCAUCUUUAGGGGCUAGUAAAGAGUCUGAAUGUCAGACAAAUAUGAUCGCCUUGAGCAUAUUUGUGAUAACUGUAGCUGCCAACAUCUGUAUACAGUUACGCACUCGUGUGAUCGUUCUUUUCUUCAAAGAACAUAUCAUUAUCUUGUGUUUGAUGUUACUUUUGCUCAUGUUGUUGUGGCACAUUUCUUUGAACAUCAGAAGUUCCAAGAGACUUGUCGCUGAUCAUUAUAAAGAUCUCCUUGGAAAAGGGAACAAUAAUAGCAUGUUUGGGAGAUUGAAGUUGUGUUACUUGUAUUCUUAUUGCUCAAACCCCCAAUUUAGGAUGUGCAAGGAUCCAAUGUAUGCAUCUAUUAGCAUAGUAUGCCUAUUGUGUUCGGUCACCUUAAUGCAAGCUACAUUAAGAUCUGUCAUCUUGAAGAAGGUGGACUUCUGUUCAGGGGCAGGGGAUUCUGAUUAUGGCUGGUCAAUGCCAUAUGUUACUAUCACACAAAAUCUCACUGUCAUAGUAGGAACUAUUGCAAUUUUGUUUAGAUGUUUGGCCUUGUUUAGCCGCAUGGAAUUCCAAAAUCUAAUUGUAUCUUUCUGUGGUGGUGAUCCUGCUGCAAAGAGGAAUCAAACCUUAGGAUGGUGGAAUAGAUGGCAAAACAUCUUUGUAUCUCUCUACAUGAGGAUUGCCUCAGCAACUCAAUUGUUGAUUGUGUCCCCAUCAUGGUUACUGCGCAAAUUAUUUUGUUUAUACAAACACGAUAGUUUAGAAUUUUUCGACGAUCUUCCUCACCAAUGUCUAAUUACGGCAAGCAAGUAUAUUGUGCGGAAGAGUAUCGAUGACAUAAUCAAGUUUAGAGAUCAUUGCAAUAGAAAGUCACUAACAAAUCUGUUGCAAAUCCUUCCACGGACUUCUGCUCAACCAAGGGGCUAUCUAGAGUAUCUUCAAAGAGAAGGCCAUGGCAUGAAAGUAUGUUCUCUUUCAGUGGCACUACUGGUAAAAGUUGCUCGAGUUUCUGUACCUGAACAGCAUCUUGGAUCAUCUCUUCUAUGUGCAUACAAGGAAGCCUACGAAAUCAUCCAUUUCAUUGACAAAACAUUACAAACCAAAAAAUCAGAGGAUAAUUAUAAAUUGUCAUAUGCAAAAGCUGUGUGGACAACUGGAGAUUUUAGUUGUCUGCUUUCUGAUGCUGUAACCCGUAUUCAACCAGAUUUGGAUCGGGCGAUUGCCAUCAUUAAAGAAUUGAAAAGAAAAUUGGGAUCAGAUCAAGUGUGCUCUGAACUUAAGAUCAUGGUGGACUUCAUCAAUCUGCAAAGCUACUCGUCAAUUGAAGAAUUAUGUAACUCUAUGAAGCAAAUGUUUUUGGACAUGUUACGUGCAUUAUUCAUUCAACUGCCAAUUGCUAUACAUAAAAGUUUGAGUGAGUGUCAGGCGGAAGAAUUUGAAGAGAAUGUACAACUUGCUAUGAAGUUCCUAUUUCUAGUUCAACGUACAGAUCCUUGGGAAGAUUAUAUACAUUGGUUGUUGCCUCCAGGAACUGAUAUCGAAAGCUUUAUAACGGAUGCGACUCCAGUGCCCACAGCAGGUUCACUGACAAGACUGAGGGAACUUUGUCUCACUGGUGGUGAGUUGGAGCUCAUACAAGUUGUGAACGGGGUUUAAUGGGAAAACAAAGCCACCAGUGCUACUGAAUUUCUUUUGCAUUUUCUUUUAGAAGGUAUUAUUGGUUUAAAAUGUUGUUUGGGUCCUUUCCUUGGAUUUGACCCGUGAAGGAAUUUGGGAAUUAAAAUGUCAUUAAGCAUUUGGAGCUCUAGUUCUCUUUUUUAGUCUUUUACCAACAAAACAAAACUGUGAACUUUAAUUUGCAUGCUGCAUUUUUUCUGGCGUUCUUGGAAGUCUAUUGCCAAUUUCUUUUAUUGUUUGAUGAAGUCAUUCAGUAAAUACAUAUCUUCUAAGUUCUAACACACAAGAUUUUUCAACACUUUGGUGCUUUUAACCACCAGAAAGGUGCUUUCUUAGGUAGCACUUGUUGGACUCAAACUGGUUCAGCUGGACUAUGUUGAUCAUGGGAAGCAUUAUUAGGCUCCAAUGCUCCAUCACUACAAGUGACAAUGCCUAGGUUGCUAACAGGACUUAACAUUCUGAUAAUAAACGUGCCUUCUUUACACAUGAUUAUACAAUACUGUCCAGAGCACUCUGAUGAUGCUUAAUCUCUCCCACAAAAUUCUGACAAUACCAUGGUGUCACUAGUUUACCUUGCAGCAUUUGAAUAGCUUGUACUGAGUCUGCAGCAACCAAUACAUUCCUCUGCUGAGUGCUGAAUCAGGCCGCAGUUCUGCAUGUUGCCUCGCGGUCCACAGCUUCCAAGUUUGUGUGUCAGUUGACCCCAUACUGUAGAUGGACCUAAGAUUUACAGACUGGAUCUUAAUAUAAGUCCGGACCAUGUAUUUGAUUCUAAAUCAAACGGUACAUUUUUUAUUUUUUUUAAUAAAAUGUGUAUUUUUUGAUUUUUUUUUCUGGCUACAUAAAAAUAAGCAAGUACGUAAUGUGUAUUUUUUUUGGUAUGUGGGUGAAUAACUCCAAGCUGAAGCGACAUGUCAUGACAGAAUUUCUCAAAGUGGACCCA